GGCUCAGGAUGAACGCUGGCGGCGUGCUUAACACAUGCAAGUCGAACGAUGAAGCCCAGCUUGCUGGGUGGAUUAGUGGCGAACGGGUGAGUAACACGUGAGUAACCUGCCCUUAACUCUGGGAUAAGCCUGGGAAACUGGGUCUAAUACCGGAUAGGAGCGUCCACCGCAUGGUGGGUGUUGGAAAGAUUUAUCGGUUUUGGAUGGACUCGCGGCCUAUCAGCUUGUUGGUGAGGUAAUGGCUCACCAAGGCGACGACGGGUAGCCGGCCUGAGAGGGUGACCGGCCACACUGGGACUGAGACACGGCCCAGACUCCUACGGGAGGCAGCAGUGGGGAAUAUUGCACAAUGGGCGCAAGCCUGAUGCAGCGACGCCGCGUGAGGGAUGACGGCCUUCGGGUUGUAAACCUCUUUCAGUAGGGAAGAAGCGAAAGUGACGGUACC
This is a ribosomal RNA of 445 nucleotides. It matches the Rfam family "Bacterial small subunit ribosomal RNA", at positions 21 to 479 of the family's 1533-position model.